CUCCUCAAGAGAUGAUUGAACGCGGAAGUCAACCUUCUGACAAGAAGGGAAAGGUGAGAGCAAUAUCUUUUCCGUUUGUUCUGCAUCUCAGUGUACAUUCAUAUGUGAUAUGUGUGUAUACUUGUAUAUUAUCUACCUGCUAUAUGUCAGACACAGAAGUCUCAGCUUGGAAACUAUAAUCAAAAGACAGGUUAAAUGUAUAGAGAAAAUGUACUAAUAUAUAGGAUUUUUCAAAUUCAUUUUCAAUUUUGAAUGUAGAAAUUAUCAGCGUUCUUAUCACCCUAAGUCAUGUUUUUCAAAGAUUAAUUUCUGACUAGAGCUUACCAAAUGCAUCUGCCCAGUAUAAACUGAACGUGAUGUUUAAUUUUCAGGACUUGUUAAAUGGUGAUGGUAGAAAAGAGAAUUAUGAACAGAAUCUUGAGUGUAGUUCCUUUUUCCUUCCACGAGUGGCCUUUGAACUUUUCUCCAGUGUUAAAUCCAGCAUAUUCCAAACACUUGGUGGAACUUCCAUUUCAGGAGCAUUUUCCUCAUUGCCUACAUUUGAAAAGGAUAAUGAAUCAGAUUAUCCUGAUAAGAAAGAUUUGGAAACUUGUAAUUUCUGCAUUGAACCACAUCCAACGGAUGAGUUGCAAUCUACUGAAGACAGAACUUCACAUCCAGAAGUUAUUAGGAUCCAUGACAAGAAUGAUUUUUCGCUUUCUUUAGAAAGCAACAAUUCAAACCAGUUUAAGCAGUUUGAUGUUAUAGAAAAUUGUUCUGAGGACCACCAUUUUUUUGAUGAGGGAAGAGGAUUGUCAACAUUGCAGGUUAGAAAUCGAUCCUAUAGUGUGACAUACUACGUUGAUAUAUUGAUAGGCUAACGAUUUUCUUUGCUUUAUAGGUAAAAAAAGGUUGGGUGAAAAAGGUUCAGCAAGAAUGGAGCAUCCUUGAGAAAAGUCUUCCUGGUACAUACUUUAUCUUUCUUUCUUUUUUAUUAAUCACCCUGUUUUAUAUACUUAUUUCUCCAUAAGAAGCCUUUCUGUCGCAGUCGUUAUUGUUAUAUGAUGCUUAAACUCGAAUUAGGAAGUUAAAUGAGUCACCGUCACCGGAGACACUGGUCUCUUAGCCAUUUUAAAAAGGAAAUCCAUUUUGAGUGACAAAAUAUAUAUGGCAAGAUGGCAUGGUAUAUGUUGUUAUAUUUUUUAUCCAUAGCCACAGCAGGACCUCAAAGAAGUUUAAUUGAUGUAGAAUGUAUGCAUGUUUGUACUGAGAGACCUCAAAGAUUUUAUCUGGAAACAAUCUUUAAAUAAGUAACCUGAGUGUUAAUUAUUUGAUAUACUAAUGAAAAUGGAAUUUGUUAAAGGGAAAAUGCUUGUUGGCACGAUGCACAACAAGCACGACCACCACACGACUGUUUGAAGCCGUUAGAUGACUCAUAUAAGCUUUUUUUUUUCCUUUUUUUACUUAUUGUAAAACUUCCGCUUAUUUCUGCCAUCACAUUAAUAUGCAUGUCGUCGAAUUUCGUGUGGUUUAUAUGUCGUGCUGUAUAGCACUUCCCUUUUUUAAAGUAAGCUUUAAAUGUUCAUAACAAUUUCUAUAAAUGCACUUACAAUCUCUAUUGACCCAAACAGACUCUAUUUAUGUUCGUGUGUUUGAAGAAAGAAUGGAUCUCAUGCGAGCAGUAAUUGUUGGUGCAUCUGGAACUCCGUAUCAUGACGGGUUGUUCUUCUUUGAUAUAUGUUUCCCUCCAGAGUAUC
Molecule: long non-coding RNA, 1736 nt
Filed under: Medicago truncatula (barrel medic)
Lineage: Eukaryota; Viridiplantae; Streptophyta; Magnoliopsida; Fabales; Fabaceae
Description: long non-coding RNA (MTRU_LNC002181)
Source: RNAcentral